GGAGCCGCUCGCCGCCCGCAGCCUCGCCCGUCCCGCGGCACUCACCCGGCAGCCCGAGGCAGAGCAGCAGGCUGUAGUAGACGACAGGUUAAACAUGCUGGAAAAAAAAGUUUUUUCCCCUGCUUCUUCAGUGGAUGUCUUCAUGAAGUUCUUCUCAUGUUUCUGCAACAGACCCGAGGAGGAAAGAGGUAUUUUAUUGCCUCCCAAAAGAGAAGUGAUUUUUCCUGGAGCCUUUUCUUGGGGGGAGCAAGUACAUCAGCAGGGCUGGAAGCGUGACUCACUGUUUCGAAGCUAAGUGAAGCUCAUCAGCAAAACAAAACACAAAAGAAGGGGAUGGCAGUGGAGCAGGUGAUGGUUAAAAAGUGCCACAUUCAGUUUGCAGCACUAUGAGUCUCUCAACUUUCCAGUUAACAACAGUGAAAUACCACAAGAAGCUGGAGGCUAAGGAAGAACCUCUGCCUUCUAUUUUCUGUUGUGCUGCUACCACUUUUAAGACUGGCCUAGUUUUGAACAUCCUGAGCAAUGGGGCUUCCCUGGAGAGGCCUGUUUCUAUAAUAGAAGCAUAUGUUUCCUCAGAGCUAGAGCUGUCUCCAGGGCACAGUUCAGGUAGCUGCUCAUGUGCUGAGGAGAGCCGAUUGUAGCAAGAAUCUUUUCCAUCUUCCACAUGGAACUCUCAGCAGAGCCUCACAGGAGGCUCUGAUGCCCAUGACAUGUAACUAUUGUAAAAGGAGGAAAUUUGGGAAAUUUGUUCACAUUCACUAACAGUUCUCUCUCUAGUGCCCUGCAAAUGGAGAGACCACAGAAAGAAAUCUGCUCCUCAUACCUCAGCUUAAUUGAAGCUUCUUGAAGAACUUUUCUGCCUCGCUGCACCCAGAGCUUCUAAGGCAGGAUGAACUGGGUUUCCACAUUUGCUUUUGCUUCACUGAAGUAAGAUUAGUGAAAUACUUUGUAAUAUAUCAGAAUUAAGGACCCAAAGUUGAGAAUUGCUCUUGUGUUCUGUGUGUAAAUGGUAUUUGGAGGGGCUUUUGUCCUUCAAACAACUUCAAACCACUUUUGGUCUAAAUGAGAUUAUUUUGGUUGUUCUCUUCUCUGAAUUGUGCAGUAACAGAA
Long non-coding RNA from Catharus ustulatus (Swainson's thrush), 1110 nucleotides. RefSeq lists it as uncharacterized. Lineage: Eukaryota; Metazoa; Chordata; Aves; Passeriformes; Turdidae. The record is from RefSeq and is a predicted model, not a curated record. The transcript has 3 exons.